CGGACGCGCAUGGUGAGCGGAGAGCGGUCAACGGAACUCUUGGCAGGGCAACGCGCCUGAUAACGUCAGGGGGCGCGAUGGGGAGCACAGGCUAAAGCCUGUGCCACUCGGAGCGCUACGGAAAGUGCCACAGAGAAUAGACCGCCGGCGGAGCGCAGCACGGUGGCAUCACGCAGGGAAACCUGCGGGACGUCUUCGCAACGCACGCAACGUUGGGCAAGGGUGAAAAGGUGGGGUAAGAGCCCACCGCUCCGGUGGCGACACCGGAGGCACGGAAAACCCCGCGUGGUGCAAGGCCAAAUAGGAGGGGAGAGCCGGCCCGGCUCGAUGAGCGAGCGUUUUCUAACGGAAACGCGCUCCUUCUGGGGCGGCGCAAGCCGUCGUGGAUGAGAACCCUCGGGUAGGCUGCUGGAGUCACGGUGCGAACCGUGACCUAGAGGAAUGAUCGCCGCAGCGUGCGGGUCGUUUUGCGAACUGCGUGCCGCACAGAAUCCGGCUUACAGGCCCGUCCGCCAA
Non-coding RNA from Acidobacteria bacterium 13_1_40CM_4_58_4, 516 nucleotides. NCBI's taxonomy places the organism in Bacteria, Pseudomonadati, Acidobacteriota. The record is from Rfam.